CCUACGGGGAGGCAGCAGUAGGGAAUCUUCCGCAAUGGACGAAAGUCUGACGGAGCAACGCCGCGUGAGUGAUGAAGGUUUUCGGAUCGUAAAGCUCUGUUGUUAGGGAAGAACAAGUACCGUUCGAAUAGGGCGGUACCUUGACGGUACCUAACCAGAAAGCCACGGCUAACUACGUGCCAGCAGCCGCGGUAAUACGUAGGUGGCAAGCGUUGUCCGGAAUUAUUGGGCGUAAAGGGCUCGCAGGCGGUUUCUUAAGUCUGAUGUGAAAGCCCCCGGCUCAACCGGGGAGGGUCAUUGGAAACUGGGGAACUUGAGUGCAGAAGAGGAGAGUGGAAUUCCACGUGUAGCGGUGAAAUGCGUAGAGAUGUGGAGGAACACCAGUGGCGAAGGCGACUCUCUGGUCUGUAACUGACGCUGAGGAGCGAAAGCGUGGGGAGCGAACAGGAUUAGAUACCCUGGUAGUCCACGCCGUAAACGAUGAGUGCUAAGUGUUAGGGGGUUUCCGCCCCUUAGUGCUGCAGCUAACGCAUUAAGCACUCCGCCUGGGGAGUACGGUCGCAAGA
RNAcentral lists this ribosomal RNA (566 nucleotides) under fuel tank bacterium 11. Its description in RNAcentral is "bacterial SSU rRNA". It matches the Rfam family "Bacterial small subunit ribosomal RNA", at positions 338 to 893 of the family's 1533-position model. The record is from RNAcentral.